ACUCCUACGGGAGGCAGCAGUAAGGAAUAUUGGUCAAUGGACGCAAGUCUGAACCAGCCAUGCCGCGUGAAGGAUGAAGGUCCUCUGGAUUGUAAACUUCUUUUAUAGGGGGCGAAAAAGGUUUUCUAAAUCACUUGACAGUACCCUAUGAAUAAGCACCGGCUAACUCCGUGCCAGCAGCCGCGGUAAUACGGAGGGGUGCAAGCGUUAUCCGGAUUCACUGGGGUUUAAAGGGGUGCGUAGGCGGGUAGGUAAGUCAGAGGUGAAAUCCUGGAGCUUAACUCCAGAACUGCCUUUGAUACUAUCUAUCUUGAAUAUGGUGGAGGUAAGCGGAAUAUGUCAUGUAGCGGUGAAAUGCAUAGAUAUGACAUAGAACACCUAUUGCGAAGGCAGCUUACUACGCCUAUAUUGACGCUGAGGCACGAAAGCGUGGGGAUCAAACAGGAUUAGAUACCCUGGUAGGAUAGCG
This 469-nucleotide ribosomal RNA is filed under the name uncultured bacterium. RNAcentral's name for it is "bacterial SSU rRNA". It matches the Rfam family "Bacterial small subunit ribosomal RNA", at positions 335 to 799 of the family's 1533-position model. The record is from RNAcentral.